UUCCGGCUUGCCUUCCGGUCCCCGUGAGCCACGAUGGAGCCCGGCGCCGACCUGAAGCGGAGCCUCGACGAGCUGGAGCAGGACGAGGAGACGGAUUCGGGCUCCGACUCGGAGGUAGGCAGGUGGGCGGCGCGGCCCCUCGCCCCCGCCCGAAGCGGGGCUGCCAUGGCGGCGGGCGGGCGGGCUCGCUCCAAGCACUCUUCUCCCCCUCCAGGAGCUGGUCGGCCCCGGCCGCCGGCGAGGCCUGCGUGGAGACUUCGCCGCGGGGUUCGUCUUCGCCGAGAAGGAGUUCGCUCGGCCCGGCGCCGGCGCCUGGGCGGAGGCCCUGAGCCAGCUGAAGGGCAAGAGGCCAGUCACGAGCCUGGAUGAGAAGAUUGCAGCAGUGAGGAGAAAAAGGAAAGCUCAGGUAGAAGCUUGCUUGCUUGGAAUCACAGACUCCUUGUGCUAGGUGGGGUCUAUCUGUGACAUCUGCAACAAGGUGCCUGAGUUCUCUAGUUGUGUGCCAUAAGUAGUAGAAGUUUUGUCAGCUUAUUAUUUGCAUGUGUUGAACAGAGGCUGCGUAGGCUGGGGUAAAGGAGCAUGGAAGGAAAACUUCCAGCAGAAUCUAGUGAGGGCCUGGCCAGGAACAAUCUGCCAAUAGCACAAGGUAUUGGUG
This 655-nucleotide long non-coding RNA is filed under the name Varanus komodoensis (Komodo dragon). RNAcentral describes it as "lncRNA (ENSVKKG00000009496.1)". Lineage: Eukaryota; Metazoa; Chordata; Lepidosauria; Squamata; Varanidae. The record is from RNAcentral.